UACGGAAGGUGCGAGCGUUAAUCGGAAUUACUGGGCGUAAAGCGUACGCAGGUGGUUUUAUAAGUCGGAUGUGAAAGCCCCGGGCUUAACCUGGGAAUUGCAUCCGAGACUGUCUGACUAGAGUAUGGUAGAGGGAAGUGGAAUUCCAGGUGUAGCGGUGAAAUGCGUAGAUAUCUGGAGGAACACCAAUGGCGAAGGCAGCUUCCUGGGGCAAUACUGACACUGAUGUGCGAAAGCGUGGGGAGCAAACAGG
Molecule: ribosomal RNA, 253 nt
Filed under: uncultured bacterium
Lineage: Bacteria
Description: partial 16S ribosomal RNA
Rfam family: Bacterial small subunit ribosomal RNA
Source: RNAcentral